CCUUUCUUCUAAGAAUCGUCGAAGCCGCUUUCGUAUUCGCUUUUUCCGUCGUCAUCUUUGGCAAAUAAUUUUUUCGGGUUUUUUUUUUUUUUUUCUCUCUAUUUUUGUUUUGUUUUGGGAUGUUGUUGGUUUUUUUUGGGUUUUUUUUUUUUUUUGGGUUUUUUUUAAAUCCGUAAUGUGGAGAAGACAAGUGUAAGUAAGUAAGUAACAAGGCAAAGCCGUAGCGUGGGGACAACGAGGACGAUGGCAAGCGAGGCUUUUGAGAUGCAGAGAGAUAGCUAAUGAGCGCCAGGAAUACACACACACAGACACACACACACACACGAUGGGGGCUGGGAAUUUAAACUUACUUCAUAUACAACAACAGCACAUCACACACACACACACACUCUAUCAUCUGUCUGCCUCUUUCUCUCUCUCGUAGUCAUCAGACUUAAUAGAAUAUGUACACACACAUGUGUGUGUAUGAUAUAUAUAUAUAGAGAGAGAGAGAUAUAUGUAUAAUGUGCUGUGUUUUUGAGCUUGUGCACUUAUGUAUGAAGUUGUGUUUAUCAACUGCCUAUAUAUCGGCGGUUUAUUUGAGGCCUUGUGUGUGUGUGUGUGUAUGUCUGUGUGUAUGUGUGUGUGUGUGUGUGUGUGUAUGUGUGUGUGCACGAAAAUAUAUAUAAGUAGUGAAAGAUAUAUAUAAUAUAUAAAGAAGCAAAGUAUUUGAGCGUGCGAUCGUAUGCGUCUUUGAACGUUAAUAAGACUUGGAAAAGCCUUAUGUGCGUGUGUUGAAGAGAGAGAGAGAGAGACAGACAGAGACAGAGAGAUAGUUGGAAGAAGUGUUUAGAGAACGUAUGUGUAUGUGGAGAGAGCAGAGAGAGAGAGAGAAACAAGGAUAUAGAUACAGAGAGAGAGAGAGAGAGAGACAGAGAGAUAGUUGGAAGAAGUGUUUAGAGAACGUAUGUGUGUGUGGAGCGAGAGAGAGAGAGAGAGAAACAAAGAGAUAGAUACAGAGCGGGAUAGAGAGAGAGAGAUAGUUGGAAGAAGUGUUAGAGAUCGUGUGUAGAGAGAGAAACAAGGAGAUAGAUAGAGGGCGGGAUAAAGAGAGAGAGAGAGCGUGUGUAUGUGUGUGUGUGUGUGUGUGUGCGUGAGAGACGAAAAUACUGUUGUGUAUGUGAUGAAAACACUGAAUGAGUGUGUGAGUGAGUGAGUGAGUGAUAAGUUAAGUGACAGAGAGAGAGAGAGAGAGAGAGAGAGAAAGAGGCAAGUUCCACUUCUGUUGUAUUCCAAUAUGCGAAGCUUGGUUUGUCAAAAAGUCCUCGAUGAAUGAUGGAAAGCACACAGAGGGGGAGGGAGAUAAAGAUGUGAGCAUAUAUAAUAUAUAAAUAUAUAUGUGUGUGUGUGGAGACACAGAAAGUCCCUCAACUAUAGAUAUAUUAGCACAGUACUAUAUUAGUUUUGUUUCGGGCUUGUUUGAUUUUUUCGUUUUACAUAUACAUACAUACAUACAUACAUACAUACAUACAUACAUACAUACAUACAUACAUACAAAUAAGUGUUUUGUUACAAGACUAGAAAUGAUGACUUUUGGUGAGGAUUUUUAAUGGUUGAGGG
This 1599-nucleotide long non-coding RNA is filed under the name Octopus vulgaris (common octopus). Lineage: Eukaryota; Metazoa; Mollusca; Cephalopoda; Octopoda; Octopodidae. The record is from RNAcentral.